This 338-nucleotide unclassified non-coding RNA is filed under the name soil metagenome. RNAcentral's name for it is "partial contains 5.8S ribosomal RNA, internal transcribed spacer 2, and large subunit ribosomal RNA". The stretch from base 1 to 120 matches the Rfam family "5.8S ribosomal RNA", at positions 35 to 154 of the family's 154-position model. The record is from RNAcentral.
GAUGAAGAACGCAGUGAAAUGCGAUAAGUAAUGUGAAUUGCAGAAUUCAGUGAAUCAUCGAAUCUUUGAACGCACAUUGCGCCCGCCAGUAUUCUGGCGGGCAUGCCUGUCUGAGCGUCAUUUCAACCCUCAAGCAACUUCUGCUUGGUGUUGGGGAUCGGCCGUCAAACGCCGCCCCCGAAAUCUAUUGGCGAUCUCGCUGUAGCUUCCUAUGCGUAGUAGUAACAUCUCGCAUCUGGAGAGCGGCGCGGUCAUGCCGUAAAACACCCAACUUCUCAGGUUGACCUCAGAUCAGGUAGGAAUACCCGCUGAACUUAAGCAUAUCAAUAAGCGGAGGA